RNAcentral lists this non-coding RNA (27 nucleotides) under Rattus norvegicus (Norway rat). Lineage: Eukaryota; Metazoa; Chordata; Mammalia; Rodentia; Muridae. The record is from RNAcentral.
UGGCCACCAAAAGGUUCAAGUGUGACA